AGCUAUUUUCUUAUUUUAUCAUUUCUUUUUAAAGUGCUUUUAAUUUGUAUUUUUACUAUAUAUAUGUGUAUAUAUUCAUUUUUAGUUUCCUUUCAUUGUAUUCAAUUUUAUUUUUAUACCUAUAUAGGUUUUCCUUUCUUUCCUAUUUUGGGAUCUAGUUUCUUCUAACAAAAAGAUCAAAAUACACCCAAGAUCUAGUCUAUUUUUGUGUUCUCUUUUACUUUUUUGGUGGAUUUCUCUCUCUCCUCUCCCUCUUUCUCUGUCUCUCUCUGUCUCUUUCUAUAUAUUUUUAUGUGUUCUUUCAUUUUGUUUGUAUUUUCUGGCAUUGUUGUUGCUAUAUUUAUAGUUUAUCUCUCUUUCAUCUAUUCUUUUCUGAAAAUAAGGAAAAGACAGAGAAACUCACCCAAAAGAAAGAACAGAAAGAAGUACUCACUGCCAGGUAUUUAAUCAAUAUGGCUAUAAAUAAGAUGUUAUUACUACCAUUCAAAACCAUGAUUAUAAAGAUAUUAGCUGGGCAUAAAAAACCAUAGAAGACUCUACAGAAUCCCUUGGUGGAGAAAUAAAAGAACUAAAAUCUAAUCAGACCAAAAUCAAAGAGGUUAUUAUUGAGAUGCAGUAAAAAAAAAUGGAGUCUCUGAAGAUAAAUGAGGCAAUAGAGAAAGUCAGUGAUAUAAGAAAAAAUAAUAGAAAUUAAGGAAGUGAGAAAAAGAGAGAGAAACAACCACUGGGUCAUAAAGGGAGACUUUGAUAAAUCAGCAAUAACAUAAAACAAAAUAAUAUUAAAAUAUUAGAGAUCCCAGAAGGGGGGGAGAAGUUUAUUUGAAAAAUUAUAGCUGAAAAUUUCCCUAAUCUGGAGAAGGAAACAAACACUCACAUCUGAAAGGCACAGAGGACCCCCCCAAAAUAUUCAAUAAAAUAUGUCAACACCUUGACAUGUAACAAUGAAGCUUGCAAAUAUCAGAGAUAAAGAGAAAAUCCUGAAAGCAGCUCGGGACAAGAGUUUCCUAACCUACAAGGGUAGAUUACAUAAGCCUGGCAGCAGGCAGGUCCAUAGAGACCUGUCAGUCCAGAAAGGACUAGCAUGAUAUAUUGAAGGUUAUAAAUGGUAAAAAUAUGCAGCCAAGAAUAUUUUAUCUGGCAAUCCUGUCAUUCAGAAUAGGAGAGAUAAAGAGUUCCCAAGACAAAGAGAAAGUAAAAAUUUAAUCACUAAACCAGCCCU
RNAcentral lists this long non-coding RNA (1219 nucleotides) under Canis lupus familiaris (dog). Its description in RNAcentral is "lncRNA (ENSCAFG00000053490.1)". The record is from RNAcentral. Lineage: Eukaryota; Metazoa; Chordata; Mammalia; Carnivora; Canidae.